GUAUUGAUAUUUUCUUGGGUUUGUUGAGAAUAAGACAAAAAUAAAGCCUUGUCCUUAAUGUAAAACCUUUUUGAUUUAAUGUAAUUAUUUUCCCCAGAAGCUGUGCUUGUGUGCAUUAUUAGUACUAUGUCUUAAACUCAAAAUUUAAAGGCAAAUUUCGCAUCACUCAGCUUAUCCCAGCUAAUAUAGGUUUACAUUUUACAUCAAAGCAGGACUUCUUUAGGGCAUGCUUGUUGCCACACAAAGCCUUCUCCUUACAAUGAACCUAACAUCAGAACAGACUGGAAGGAGAGAUGCUGUAAAAGAUCUAAAAACAAACUCCCUGCAUGCUUAUUUUGCUCUUGUUUUCCUGCAGCACACCAGUUUUUCAUUUUGGGAAGUGAUGGAGAGAUGGAGCGAGGAGAGGAAGGCAGGAUAGAGAUCAACUAAGACGAAUGAUGAAGGUCAAGGUGAAACGCUUAGCCAACCUCCGUGUUUUUGUCUCCCAAGGCCUCGUAGAUCGUUGUGAAGUUUGAAGAUGAGCCUUAAAAAUGUGGGGCCCUUCACCCCUUCACCCCUCGCUCUCUUGUUCCUUCUUUCCCACUGGGAUGACAGCCAUGUGCUUUGGAGGCCCUCACGGACGAAACCACACAGUGAAGCUGUAGCAGGGGGUAGAAAAAGAAGAAGAAGGCGGCUCCAGAAAAAGCUAUGCCAGUGCUCCUGGCCAAGACACCGGCCAGAAACCAAACUGGAUGUGGUGAAACUGUCAAAUUACUUAAGGAAACUGCAGCAAAACCUCAAGAGGCAAAAAACAGAGAGGGAGAGGAGUUCUUCAGUGUGUUGUGAAACAAGCAAAGCAAAUUUUAUUUCGAAAAUAAUUUUAAGUUAUUAGUUAAAAGCUGUCAAAGAGGAUACCUGGUUGUUGCACAGCUGCUUUUCAAGCGCCCUGCCACUGGUUGGUCUGACAGCAGAGAUGCAGGCCUUUGCUGAUGACCAUGAACCACAACGUUUAAGUCAAAGCCAGCAGGGGUUCUUUGUUGGAUGCAUUCCUUAUAUCUCUGUUGCCUCAUUUCCUGUAAGCUCCUAAAUACAAUUCCCCAAAAUACUUUAAAAAUAAUUGACCACAGCAUUUUUGACCACAGAAAACAAAACAAAGCAAAAAAGAUGCUUCCUGAAGAUGAGAGAUUUGAAUCGAAGGGGCUUUCUGUGCAUUUUCCUUGAAUUCUAUUCUAAGAUCCAAAUCCAGCCACCGUGAGCUCUUAAGUAAUGUAAAAACGGAAUACGUGACUUCUACAACCAUUCGUCCACAUUAGUGGGACGAAAACAAUAAAGUUGUCUAGAUUUUACUGUGAAACCAAUGAAAACUGUCUUAUUGAAAGAGUAAACCUUGUAAAUCUUUUGAGGAGGAAACACAAGACCACAUCCAUUUGCAGUCCCGGUUUUCAGAUUAUAAUUAUAUAAUGCAGAUUUGAUUUUGAAAGAAACAUAAUUAAUGAGUCUGUUUAUUGGCAGCAUUUCUCUGAAUGCACUCUAAUGCUAUGUUUUUACACCGCAUAGUAGUCGCAGGGAGUUGCCUAGCCUAGAUGGAGAGCGUACAAAGACCUUUCAGAUGUACUUUGGUUAAAGUUAGCGACGAUGAGGGUUUCCACUACUCAUUAAAAAUAACUUUUAUGCCAUGUGCUCUAGACUUCUUAGUGUUUAUCCAGGUCAGCGUUUACCUAAACCUCGGUUCCUAUGAAAUCAUCCUAAAACAUUUCAUUUAAAAAACAGGGUUGUGAAACUGUGGAUUCUUAAUAAUUUCACAAUACCGAUCACUGAUCAUUUGUUCACAGGCUCACAAAAAUCAAUUCCCCUUACUGCUCCACACUGCAGUACAACAUCUCCUAAUGUUAGGUAAAAUGUGAAGUGGUGUUUCUUUCACUUACAGCUGUCAGUGGCAUCAUCUUCCUCCGGCUUCCUGCUGCUUGUUAGGUCCCUUCACAACAUACUCUUCUUACUCUCAUAGUGCUGCAGCUUGUUUGUUUUUAAUGUUCACUUCUGGAAACUGUACUAAAAAAAUAGAAAAAAAGAAAAAGGUCUUAAGAUCUCAUUUGUAUAACCUGAGGUGGAGCACUCGGC
Long non-coding RNA from Oreochromis aureus, 2097 nucleotides. Lineage: Eukaryota; Metazoa; Chordata; Actinopteri; Cichliformes; Cichlidae. The record is from Ensembl.